UGACGCUGGCGGCGUGCUUAACACAUGCAAGUCGAACGAUGAAACCUAGCUUGCUAGGUGGAUUAGUGGCGCACGGGUGAGUAAUAUAUAGGUAAUGUGCCUCUUAGUCUGGGAUAGCCAUUGGAAACGAUGAUUAAUACUGGAUACUCCUUCUAACUCUAAUGUUAGUCGGGAAAGUUUUUCGCUAAGAGAUCAGCCUAUAUCCCAUCAGUUAGUUGGUAAGGUAACGGCUUACCAAGGCAAUGACGGGUAGCGGGUUUGAGAGGAUGAUCCGCCACACUGGUACUGAGACACGGACCAGACUCCUACGGGAGGCAGCAGUGAGGAAUAUUGCACAAUGGGGGAAACCCUGAUGCAGCAACGCCGCGUGGAGGAUGACGCAUUUCGGUGUGUAAACUCCUUUUAUAUGUCAAGAAAAUGACGGUAGCAUAUGAAUAAGCACCGGCUAACUCCGUGCCAGCAGCCGCGGUAAUACGGAGGGUGCAAGCGUUACUCGGAAUCACUGGGCGUAAAGGACGCGUAGGCGGAUUGGAAAGUCAGAUGUGAAAUCCUACAGCUUAACUGUAGAACUGCAUUUGAAACUUCUAAUCUAGAGUAUGGGAGGGGGAGAUGGAAUUAGUGGUGUAGGGGUAAAAUCCGUAGAUAUCACUAGGAAUACCGAAAGCGAAGGCGAUCUCCUGGAACAUUACUGACGCUAAGGCGUGAAAGCGUGGGGAGCAAACAGGAUUAGAUACCCUGGUAGUCCACGCCCUAAACGAUGAACACUAGUCGUCGGGAUGCUUGUCAUCUCGGUGAUGCACUUAACAGAUUAAGUGUUCCGCCUGGGGAGUACG
RNAcentral lists this ribosomal RNA (833 nucleotides) under uncultured bacterium. RNAcentral's name for it is "bacterial SSU rRNA". It matches the Rfam family "Bacterial small subunit ribosomal RNA", at positions 31 to 884 of the family's 1533-position model. The record is from RNAcentral.